UACGGAGGGUGCAAGCGUUAUUCGGAAUUACUGGGCGUAAAGCGCGUGUAGGCGGGAAGGUAAGUCUGAUGUGAAAGCCCUGGGCUCAACCUGGGAAGUGCAUUGGAUACUGCUUUUCUUGAGUUCUUGAGAGGAUGGGGGAAUUCCCGGUGUAGAGGUGAAAUUCGUAGAGAUCGGGAGGAAUAUUAGUGGCGAAGGCGCCCAUCUGGACGGCAACUGACGCUGAGACGCGAAAGCGUGGGGAGCAAUCAGG
This 253-nucleotide ribosomal RNA is filed under the name uncultured bacterium. RNAcentral describes it as "partial 16S ribosomal RNA". It matches the Rfam family "Bacterial small subunit ribosomal RNA", at positions 524 to 776 of the family's 1533-position model. The record is from RNAcentral.